This 468-nucleotide ribosomal RNA is filed under the name uncultured bacterium. RNAcentral's name for it is "partial 16S ribosomal RNA". It matches the Rfam family "Bacterial small subunit ribosomal RNA", at positions 28 to 507 of the family's 1533-position model. The record is from RNAcentral.
GACGAACGCUGGCGGCGUGCUUAACACAUGCAAGUCGAACGGAAAGGCCCUGCUUUUGCUGGGUGCUCGAGUGGCGAGCGGGUGAGUAACACGUGAGUAACCUGCCCUUUACUUUGGGAUAACUUCAGGAAACUGGGGCUAAUACCCGAUAGGAGCUCCUUCUGCAUUGUGGUUGUUGUAAAUAUUCGGCGGUUGGGGAAGGACCUGCGGGUUAGCAGCUUGUUGGUGGGGUAGUGUAUUACCAAGGCUCUGACGGGAAGCGGGACUGAGAGGGUGACGGGCCACAUUGGGACUGAGAUACGGCCCAGACGCCUCCGGGAGGCAGCAGUGGAGAAUAUUGCACACUGGGCGGGGGCCUGCUGCAGCAACGCCGCGUGCGAAAUGACGGCCUUCGGGUUAUAACCCGCUUUUGCCUGGAACGAAGAGUGAGUGACGGUAACGAGUAAAGAAGGAACGGCUAACUACGUG